RNAcentral lists this ribosomal RNA (529 nucleotides) under uncultured Lysobacter sp. Its description in RNAcentral is "bacterial SSU rRNA". It matches the Rfam family "Bacterial small subunit ribosomal RNA", at positions 383 to 905 of the family's 1533-position model. The record is from RNAcentral. Lineage: Bacteria; Pseudomonadati; Pseudomonadota; Gammaproteobacteria; Lysobacterales; Lysobacteraceae.
CUGACAGCCUGCCGCGUGUGUGAAGAAGGCCUUCGGGUUGUAAAGCGCUUUUGUACGGGAAAGAAAAGCUUUCGGUUAAUACCCGGAAGUCCUGACGGUACCGUAAGAAUAAGCACCGGCUAACUUCGUGCCAGCAGCCGCGGUAAUACGAAGGGUGCAAGCGUUACUCGGAAUUACUGGGCGUAAAGCGUGCGUAGGUGGUUUGUUAAGUCUGAUGUGAAAGCCCUGGGCUCAACCUGGGAAUGGCAUUGGAUACUGGCAGUCUAGAGUGCGGUAGAGGGUAAUGGAAUUCCCGGUGUAGCAGUGAAAUGCGUAGAUAUCGGGAGGAACAUCCGUGGCGAAGGCGGCUACCUGGACCAGCACUGACACUGAGGCACGAAAGCGUGGGGAGCAAACAGGAUUAGAUACCCUGGUAGUCCACGCCCUAAACGAUGCGAACUGGAUGUUGGGGACACUUAGGUCUUCAGUAUCGAAGCUAACGCGUUAAGUUCGCCGCCUGGGAAGUACGGUCGCAAGACUGAAACUCAGG